This is a long non-coding RNA of Cydia pomonella (codling moth), 716 nucleotides long. RefSeq lists it as uncharacterized. The record is from RefSeq and is a predicted model, not a curated record. NCBI's taxonomy places the organism in Eukaryota, Metazoa, Arthropoda, Insecta, Lepidoptera, Tortricidae. The transcript is spliced from 2 exons.
UCAUGAUGCCGACCAUGAAAUAUGUCAGAAAAAUAGUCAUGGAUGUCUGCGGAUUUCGAAAAUCAUGACUAUUUUGGAAUCCAAGAUGGCGACCAUGCAAUUUGUCAUAAAAGUCGUCAUGGAUGUCGUUUUAUAGGUUUUAGGGAGUGUGGAUUUCGAAAGUCAUGACUAUUUUGGAAUCCAAGAUGGCGGCCAUGCAACUUGUCAUAAAAGUUGUCAUGGAUGUCAUUUUAUAGGUUUUAGGGAAUGUGGUUUUCAAAAAUGAUGAACCUCAACCAUGUGUAUCGUAAAGAACUCGUCAUGACAUUUAAAAUGAGCUAAAACUCGAUAACAUUAUGGGAAGUCAUCGAUGAGUUCCAUUGACAACUUCCGAUUUCACUAUCAGAACUUAGUCACCAUGUGUAUCGUAAAGAACUCUUCAAGACAUUUUAAAUGAGCCCAAACUCAAUAGCAUUACUAGUAGUUAUCGAUGAGUUCCAUCAACACCUUCCGAUUCCACCAUAAGACCCUCGCCACCAUGUGUAUCGUAAAGAACUCACGAAGACCUUUAAAAUGAGCCCAAACUCGAUAGCAUUACUUGUAGUUAUCGAUGAGUUCCAUCAACACCUUCCGAUUCCACCAUCAGACCCUCGCCACCAUGUGUAUCGUAAAGAACUCGUCAAGAUAUUUAAAAUGAGCCCAAACUCGAUAGCAUUACUAGUAGUUAUCGAUGAGUU